RNAcentral lists this long non-coding RNA (1419 nucleotides) under Triticum aestivum (bread wheat). RNAcentral describes it as "long non-coding RNA (TAES_LNC012805)". The record is from RNAcentral. Lineage: Eukaryota; Viridiplantae; Streptophyta; Magnoliopsida; Poales; Poaceae.
UGUGAAAUGACUUUGGGAAUGGAGUGGUUCACUGGGGUAAUUAGCGGUAGCACCUCAUGCUGACAGGGAGUGCACGAUCGAGGUAUGUAUUUUCAGCUUGUUAGUCAAGAUGAAGUGGAAUACAUCAUAAUAUUUCUCUGCAUGAACUGUCAGGGACAUAUCUCCACGUCCACUUAAUCCAGUUUAUCCGUAUUCGGUUCCUUAGAUUGCCUACCUGUGUUCGGAUUUACCAUGUAUUAUUUGACUGGAAAAAUUACAUUGUUAAUCGCUUCAGAGAACAAGUGAAAAUGUAGGUUGUAUCCCUCUUUUGUUUGUUAACAAUCUGUUUACGGAGUCACUACUCCAUCAUCACAUAAUACACAUAUGUUAAGGUCAAGAAUUUGUCAUCUAUACUACUGAUCCCUUUUUAGUUAUGCUGAACUUGAGAAAGUGGAUUAUUGGAACAAGUGAAUUAUUUGAAAAGUAAAUUGUCAGUCUGUUACAUGUGGGAAGAGGCCUUUUGGAACAAGUGAAUUAUUUGAAAAUUAAAAUCUUUAAUUUUUUUAAAGUGAAGUUACUCUCCAACUACAAUUCUAUGCAAGCACUGAUCUUUAAAUUGAAGGUGAUUAUUCUUCUUAAGAAGGGAGAACGAUUCACUUUGGUGUAUAUGAUCCUAUGGUAUUUUUUAUUGAUUGCUAUGGUUGUUCGUGUUAUAUCCUCUAACUGACCCAACUUGCCAUUUCAUACUCAUGCUAUUAGAUCGGGUGCUCAUGCAAGAUGGUUAUAUUACUUCUCUUAAGGGUAUGUUACUGUUCAUUUGUGGUUUAGACUUGAACACAUACUUCUGUUUGAAAACAACAAGUGCCAGCCUCUCAUGAUUACGGUAACUAAUUAUCCAUUUAACACAUGCAGACUAUCAGAUACAACCGGAUGCCGCCACUUUGCAGUGUCAGAUUUAUGUUGGUGAGCUGGCCCAUGCUGUUCAUGGAAUGGCUUGAUGUGAAAGGAAAUGGGCCCAUAGGUCGAGAAGAGAAGCUUUCAUUGAGCAUAAGUGUGGUGUUGUUGGAAUUUUUGAUAUUAGUUAGAUCUUCAGAUAGCCUUUGUUUGGAGGUCAGAUAGUCUUACUAUGAGGAUCAAGUAUGAAAUUAUGACAUUCUAUGAGGACUACGUUUAGGCACAUAAAUUAUGAACCAAUUAUUCCUUCUUGAAAGACGAUGUUUUUCCAGAAAAAUACUACUAUGAGUUCAGAAUUUUAGCAAAACAUGCAAGUUGUCAUUUUGAGAUUAGUUGUUAACUAGCAUUUGAAGGCAUGUUAUAAACAAAGAGACUAAUGGGUAUGUAUUGUGCUUUCAUAUAAAAAUACACAAUAUCACCUGUUGUGCAUGUGGAAUCUAUCUAAAGAUAUAGGUUACCCAUGAUCGAUGUUGAUCCACAAGAAUU